AGUGAACGCUGGCGGUAGGCCUAACACAUGCAAGUCGAACGGCAGCACAGUAAGAGCUUGCUCUUACGGGUGGCGAGUGGCGGACGGGUGAGGAAUACAUCGGAAUCUACUUUUUCGUGGGGGAUAACGUAGGGAAACUUACGCUCAUACCGCAUACGACCUACGGGUGAAAGCAGGGGAUCUUCGGACCUUGCGCGAUUGAAUGAGCCGAUGUCGGAUUAGCUAGUUGGCGGGGUAAAGGCCCACCAAGGCGACGAUCCGUAGCUGGUCGGAGAGGAUGAUCAGCCACACUGGAACUGAGACACGGUCCAGACUCCUACGGGAGGCAGCAGUGGGGAAUAUUGGACAAUGGGCGCAAGCCUGAUCCAGCCAUACCGCGUGGGUGAAGAAGGCCUUCGGGUUGUAAAGCCCUUUUGUUGGGAAAGAAAAGCAGCAGGUUAAUACCCCGCUGUUCUGACGGUACCCAAAGAAUAAGCACCGGCUAACUUCGUG
This 492-nucleotide ribosomal RNA is filed under the name uncultured bacterium. RNAcentral's name for it is "partial 16S ribosomal RNA". It matches the Rfam family "Bacterial small subunit ribosomal RNA", at positions 29 to 507 of the family's 1533-position model. The record is from RNAcentral.